UACAGAGGGUGCAAGCGUUGUUCGGAAUUACUGGGCGUAAAGAGCGCGCAGGCGGUCGUUCAAGUCGAGUGUGAAAGCCCCCGGCUCAACUGGGGAGGGUCACUCGAUACUGAUCGACUCGAAGGCAGGAGAGGGAAGCGGAAUUCCCGGUGUAGUGGUGAAAUGCGUAGAUAUCGGGAGGAACACCAGUGGCGAAGGCGGCUUUCUGGCCUGUUCUUGACGCUGAGGCGCGAAAGCUAGGGUAGCAAACGGG
Molecule: ribosomal RNA, 253 nt
Filed under: uncultured bacterium
Lineage: Bacteria
Description: partial 16S ribosomal RNA
Rfam family: Bacterial small subunit ribosomal RNA
Source: RNAcentral